GCAAAAGCCCUAUUCAGGGCUACAGAUAAGUCUAUUGUUGAAUUUAU
Picea glauca (white spruce) is the source of this 47-nucleotide non-coding RNA. NCBI's taxonomy places the organism in Eukaryota, Viridiplantae, Streptophyta, Pinopsida, Pinales, Pinaceae. The record is from Rfam.